Molecule: RNA transcript, 1085 nt
Organism: Jatropha curcas
Lineage: Eukaryota; Viridiplantae; Streptophyta; Magnoliopsida; Malpighiales; Euphorbiaceae
Gene name: disease resistance-like protein DSC1
Source: RefSeq, a predicted model, not a curated record
AAAGGCAUAUCAUUGGACAUGUCUACUGCCAAAGAGCUAAAUUUAAAACCUACAGCCUUUGAGAAAAUGUAUAAUCUUAAGUUUCUCAAGUUCUAUGCUUCACUCAGUAAAAUCAAAGUAUACCUUCCUAAAGGCCUCAAUUUUCUGCCAGAAGGGGUAAGGUUACUCCACUGGUAUCAAUUCCCUUUAAAAUCUUUGCCACUGGGUUCUUAUGUAGAGAAUCUGGUCGAACUUCGCAUGCGGGAAAGCAAACUAAAAGAACUUUGCAGUGGAGUUCAGCAACUGGGAAAUUUGAAAUUCGUCGAUCUCAGUAACUAGGAGCUAAUAAGAAUUUCAGACUUGUCUAGAGCCUGUAAACUUGAGGUUUUAGAUCUGAAUUACUGUGAAAGUUUGGUUGAGUUUCCCUCUCCAAAAUAUUUGAGCAAGCUUACUCGAUUGCAUCUAAUGAAUUGCAAUAGUCUUUGCACUUUACCAACCCUCCUUGAUUUGAAAAGUCUCAAGGAAUUUAGGGCCUCUGAAUGCUUAAAACUUGCAGAGUUUCCAGAGUUCCCGUGUAACAUAGAGGUGCUAGUUUUGGAACGAACUAGAAUAGAAAAGGUGCCCUCAUCAAUUGGGUCCCUCUCUCGUCUUUCCUUAGUGUCCUUGAAUGAUUCUACAAUGCUUGAAAGUCUUUGCAAUCUGAAGUCUCUAAUGUACUUUUAUCUCGGCGGAUGUGUAAAUCUAAAGAGAUUGCCAGAAAACAUAGGGAAUUUGGAAUCUCUAACAGAGCUUGGUCUUGAUGGUCAAAGGACUACCGUCUUCUGUCAAUCUGUCGAGACAAUUGUGGUUCAUAGAGCUAGAAUCUUGUGGCCUAUCAGAAUUUCCUAGCUGUCUUUGCCGUUCAGAUUCAUCACUGGAAUAUUUACUGAUAGGUGGGAAUAAUUUCGAGAGCAUAUCUGAUUGCAUCAAACAACUAUCUAAGCUGAGUGUAUUGUCUUUUAGACAAUGUGAGAGACUAAAAUAUUUACCGACUAAGCUGUAAGGCGACUUUUUAUUUAUUUAUUUUUUAUGCUAUAGCUUAACUAAAAUUCCAGUUGAAUCACCCA